This 312-nucleotide unclassified non-coding RNA is filed under the name Hevea brasiliensis (rubber tree). Lineage: Eukaryota; Viridiplantae; Streptophyta; Magnoliopsida; Malpighiales; Euphorbiaceae. The record is from RNAcentral.
CCCUCUUCUUUCUGUUUUUGUUGUUUUACAUUUCUCCAUGUGGAUUACCAAGCAGCUGAAACCAAAGAUUGCUGUUGAUUUUCAACCUUAAUGGUUAAUAACCUUGUGGCCAGUUAUGCCCACAAUUUUAACCUUCCAAGGAAAAAUGGUACAAUGCCCAACAACCUUCCAAAGAAAUUAUUGACUACCAACUAGCGUUGAGAGUAGGAUGCUAAAAUAAUUCCCUGAUGACGAAUCCAUGGAGCAGACAAGCAGUCCAACAAGGAUAUGAAGAAGUUAGCAGAGCCAUUGAGUCAUCAUAUGCCCCUUUUU